CCUGUGAUUUUCGAUUAGCAUCACGACAAGGGAGUCCUCAUGCCACCAAGUGUUAGCUACUUGGGUGCUUCAAGAUCUGGUGAUCCUAGUGGCCACACGCUUGGACUCAAUCUUUUUCUGUGGUCUGGCCAGGACCAUGGGGGAGAUAAUCCCAGCAACAAGAGCAUCGCAGUAUCUCCCUGCCUGUGACUUU
Long non-coding RNA from Ixodes scapularis (black-legged tick), 193 nucleotides. RefSeq lists it as uncharacterized. The transcript has 2 exons. The record is from RefSeq and is a predicted model, not a curated record. Lineage: Eukaryota; Metazoa; Arthropoda; Arachnida; Ixodida; Ixodidae.